CGCUGGCGGCAGGCCUAACACAUGCAAGUCGCAGGGGAAGCCCGGCUUCGGCCGGGUGGAGACUGGCGCACGGGUGAGUAACGCGUGGGAACCUGCCCUGGGGUACGGAAUAACCACGGGAAACUGUGGCUAAUACCGUAUACGCCCUUUGGGGGAAAGCUUCGGCGCCCUGGGAUGGGCCCGCGUCCGAUUAGCUUGUUGGUGGGGUAAAAGCCUACCAAGGCUCCGAUCGGUAGCUGGUCUGAGAGGAUGAUCAGCCACACUGGGACUGAGACACGGCCCAGACUCCUACGGGAGGCAGCAGUGGGGAAUAUUGGACAAUGGGGGAAACCCUGAUCCAGCCAUGCCGCGUGAGUGAAGAAGGCCUUAGGGUUGUAAAACUCUUUCGGCGGGGAAGAUGAUGACGGUACCCGCAGAAGAAGCCCCGGCUAACUCCGUGCCAGCAGCCGCGGUAAUACGGAGGGGGUUAGCGUUGAAGCC
RNAcentral lists this ribosomal RNA (480 nucleotides) under uncultured Alphaproteobacteria bacterium. RNAcentral's name for it is "bacterial SSU rRNA". It matches the Rfam family "Bacterial small subunit ribosomal RNA", at positions 34 to 543 of the family's 1533-position model. Lineage: Bacteria; Pseudomonadati; Pseudomonadota; Alphaproteobacteria. The record is from RNAcentral.